CAGUCGCCGCGGGAAUACGUAGGGCGCAAGCGUUAUCCGGAAUUAUUGGGCGUAAAGAGCUCGUAGACGGUUUGUCGCGUCUGCCGUGAAAGUCCGGGGCUCAACCCCGGAUCUGCGGUGGGUACGGGCAGACUAGAGUGAUGUAGGGGAGACUGGAAUUCCUGGUGUAGCGGUGGAAUGCGCAGAUAUCAGGAGGAACACCGAUGGCGAAGGCAGGUCUCUGGGCAUUAACUGACGCUGAGGAGCGAAAGCAUGGGGAGCGAACAGGAUUAGAUACCCCCGUAGUCCCUGUCUCUUAUAC
Molecule: ribosomal RNA, 301 nt
Filed under: uncultured bacterium
Lineage: Bacteria
Description: partial 16S ribosomal RNA
Rfam family: Bacterial small subunit ribosomal RNA
Source: RNAcentral